AGAAUCUUCCGCAAUGCGCGCAAGCGUGACGGAGCGACGCCGCGUGGGCGAUGAAAGCCUUCGGGUUGUAAAGCCCUGUUACCUGCCAAGAAUGUCAGGCGGUGAAUAGCUGUCCUGAUUGACGUAAGCAGGAGAGGAAGCACCGGCUAAAUCCGUGCCAGCAGCCGCGGUAAUACGUAUGGUGCGAACGUUGUUCGGAAUCACUGGGCAUAAAGAGCGCGUAGGCGGUCUUGUAAGUCUGAUGUGAAAUCCCCCGGCUCAACCGGGGAACUGCAUCGGAUACUGCUCGACUAGAGUGCAGGAGGGGAGAGCGGAAUUCCUGGUGGAGCGGUGAGAUGCGUAGAUAUCAGGAGGAACGCCGGUGGCGAAAGCGGCUCUCUGGCCUGCAACUGACGCUGAGGCGCGAAAGCUAGGGGAGCAAAC
Molecule: ribosomal RNA, 423 nt
Filed under: uncultured bacterium
Lineage: Bacteria
Description: bacterial SSU rRNA
Rfam family: Bacterial small subunit ribosomal RNA
Source: RNAcentral